RNAcentral lists this transfer RNA (73 nucleotides) under Bos taurus (domestic cattle). It matches the Rfam family "tRNA". Rfam says of the family: Transfer RNA (tRNA) molecules are approximately 80 nucleotides in length. Their secondary structure includes four short double-helical elements and three loops (D, anti-codon, and T loops). Further hydrogen bonds mediate the characteristic L-shaped molecular structure. tRNAs have two regions of fundamental functional importance: the anti-codon, which is responsible for specific mRNA codon recognition, and the 3' end, to which the tRNAs corresponding amino acid is attached (by aminoacyl-tRNA synthetases). tRNAs cope with the degeneracy of the genetic code in two manners: having more than one tRNA (with a specific anti-codon) for a particular amino acid; and 'wobble' base-pairing, i.e. permitting non-standard base-pairing at the 3rd anti-codon position. The record is from Rfam by way of RNAcentral. Lineage: Eukaryota; Metazoa; Chordata; Mammalia; Artiodactyla; Bovidae. RNAcentral also lists the same sequence under 4 other names.
UCCCUGGUGAUCCAGUGGUUAGGACUCUGUGCUUUCACUGCUGAGGGCACAGGUUCAACCCCUGGUUGGGGAA